This 901-nucleotide ribosomal RNA is filed under the name Niesslia bulbillosa. Its description in RNAcentral is "LSU rRNA". It matches the Rfam family "Eukaryotic large subunit ribosomal RNA", at positions 38 to 964 of the family's 3401-position model. The record is from RNAcentral. Lineage: Eukaryota; Fungi; Ascomycota; Sordariomycetes; Hypocreales; Niessliaceae.
GCAUAUCAAUAAGCGGAGGAAAAGAAACCAACAGGGAUUGCCUUCAGUAACGGCGAAGUGAAGCGGCAACAGCUUCAAAUUUGAAAUCUGGCCCCCAGGGCCCGAGUUGUAAUUUGCAGAGGAUGCUUUGGGCGCGGCGCCUUCCGAGUUCCCUGGAACGGGACGCCACAGAGGGUGAGAGCCCCGUCUGGUUGGACGCCUAGCCUGUGUAAAGCUCCCUCGACGAGUCGAGUAGUUUGGGAAUGCUGCUCUAAAUGGGAGGUAUAUGUCUUCUAAAGCUAAAUACCGGCCAGAGACCGAUAGCGCACAAGUAGAGUGAUCGAAAGAUGAAAAGCACUUUGAAAAGAGAGUUAAAAAGUACGUGAAAUUGUUGAAAGGGAAGGGCUCGCGACCAGACUUGGGUCUGGGGAUCACCCGGCGUUCUUCGCCGGGGCACUCCCCCGGCACAGGCCAGCAUCGGUUCGGCCCGGGGGAUAAAGGCGGCGGGAACGUGGCUCUUCGGAGUGUUAUAGCCCGCCGCGCAAUACCCUGGGGCGGACCGAGGACCGCGCAUCUGCAUGGAUGCUGGCGUAAUGGUCGCCAGCCACCCGUCUUGAAACACGGACCAAGGAGUCGUCUUCGUAUGCGAGUGUUCGGGUGCCAAACCCCUACGCGUAAUGAAAGUGAACGCAGGUGAGAGCUUCGGCGCAUCAUCGACCGAUCCUGAUGUUCUCGGAUGGGAUUUGAGUAAGAGCAUACGGGGCCGGACCCGAAAGAAGGUGAACUAUGCCUGUAUAGGGUGAAGCCAGAGGAAACUCUGGUGGAGGCUCGCAGCGGUUUCUGACGUGCAAAUCGAUCGUCAAAUAAUGGGCAUGGGGGGCGAAAGACUAAUCGAACCUUCUAGUAGCUGGGUUUCCGCCGA